UGAAUCUCAUUCACACCUUUUGCUUGGACCACAAAAUUAUCCCUUGUUAUGAACUGUUGGGAGUUAAGUGACAUGUUCCCAAUCAAGGAUUUGACAGCAAUAGGAUAUUCAAUACACAAAGCAUUAUAAUCAACAUCAGGGACAACAAGUUCUCUCAGAGUUCUUUGGUCAGCCAUGUUAAACUUAAUAGAAAAGAAAAAAAAAUCAACAAAUAAUGAGAAAACACAACUAACUCAGCAAUGCAGCAACAAAUAGGAAAAUAUCGACAAUGUCCUUAUUAAGUAAAAACAAUUGAAAUACAAAAAAACGAUUGAAAUAAAAUAAAUAAAAAUAUAAAAACACGAAAACUAAACUAAUAACGUCAAUUAAGAAUUUUGAGAAUUUUUGUGGAAUUUUCUGAAACCACAAAAACAGAAAAUAAAUCAUAAAAAAUAGAAAAAUAAGGAAUUUCGGUUUUUUAGGGCGGCAUCCAUAUUUAUUCC
RNAcentral lists this long non-coding RNA (482 nucleotides) under Lathyrus oleraceus (garden pea). RNAcentral's name for it is "Pisum sativum (pea) long non-coding RNA (PSAT_LNC034537)". The record is from RNAcentral. Lineage: Eukaryota; Viridiplantae; Streptophyta; Magnoliopsida; Fabales; Fabaceae.